Molecule: long non-coding RNA, 3177 nt
Filed under: Sus scrofa (pig)
Lineage: Eukaryota; Metazoa; Chordata; Mammalia; Artiodactyla; Suidae
Description: lncRNA (ENSSSCG00005007242.1)
Source: RNAcentral
GGGGGUGCGGCCCUAGAAAGACAAAAGACAAAAAAAAAAAAAUCUUGUGGAGUCCGCAUCAUCCUCUUUUAAAGGUUAAAAAUACUAAGUGGGCUCCAAGGUGCUAAGUUCCUUUCCCAAGACUGCAUGGCUGCUAAGGAGGGAUCAGCAUCCGCACUGAGGUCAGCCUGGGAUUUAAUGAGCAGGUUGUACUAGGUCCUGCUCUUAAGGGAGGGCUGACCAGGGCUGCGGGGAAACAUGGCUGAUGCCUGUGGUCCUCACAGCCUCUUUAGUUUCAGCUUGCUUCCGCUUACCCUCCGCCAAGCUCUUGCCCAGGAAGAUAUUUUUCAAGGAACUCCUUUGUAUAGUGCAUGAGAGACAGUCAAGUGCGGCGUCGUGCUUGCUGGGGACAUGAACUUGGGAGGACAGACCGGGGUUCCACCACUGCCUCUGCCAUUCGAAGCCUUAACUUCAGGUCUCAGACGCAGAGGGGUUGUCACACUUUGCUCCUGGGGCUCUGAUCGGGAUGUUCGUUUUUACUGACGGAUAGCUGUUGGCUGGCAUUUUUAGGGAGAAAGUGCUUGGAGAGAGUUCCCAUGGCGAACCCCUACCCGGAAAGAGGCAUGCUGCAGAGACAAGGGGUGAGCUGUACUUCAGGAACCAGGCUUUUCCAAAAUGGAUGGCUCAGAACUGCUCUGCUGUUGUGGACUCUCCUCUUUCUUCCCUUUUUUUUUUUUUUUUUGGCAGAAGGGGACUUUGUCCCUUUGGCAGGGAAUUGAAUCUCGUAGGUGCCACUUAGCAUGGAAAGCAGGAACUACAUUCAGUGCUUCCCAAACCAUAGGGGCUGGAAGGAAGAAUGGUUUGCAGCAGCUUCAUUACCUAGGGAGAAAGAACUCGGAGUUACAGGCACUUUAAGAAAGAUGCUUUUACUUUGAGUGUCAGAGCAAAUAGAACAAUUACCUAUUGAAGGCAAAGUGGAUGAAAAAACACCUCUGUUCCUUCUACCCUGAUCAUUUCAUCUAUUCAGAUUCAUUCUGCCUUCCUGAAGGUGAUUCGAGCCAGGCUGUCCUUGCUCGGUGGCUGCACCCUUCCUCUCCCCAGCUAGAGGUUCCCAGCCAAAGACAGACUCUAGGAGGAGCUUCCUCCAAGGGCGGGAGCACCACAGGAAGUAUUGCAGGGAUGCGUGGAAUGCAAAGAAGGCGGGGCUGGGGGAGGAGGAGUCCACAAGGCAUCAAAUCGCCACUGAGCCUCUGCCUUAAAACCACACCAGGCUCUGUGACGAUUCCAGGGACAUCAGGCUACUCUGAGGAACUCAUCACCCGCCAGGGAGCAAGGCUUCUAUAUGUGAAGUCAGCAGAGAAGUGCAUUCUGUCUACACUGGAGUCAGAUUUCCAGUACCCGUCGUCGCACAUUCCCUUAAACAGACAAACAAAAAAGCCCUUUGUCUUGGUUAAAUAAUGAAUGAUCUUUAACAUGUAUUUAACACUUACUAUGUAGCAGGCACUGUUCUAACCCCUUUUAUGUUUGUUAUAUAAACAUUAUAUAUAUAUUACUAUUAUGUUUUUAUGAAUGCAGUAAAUGCGCUCAACAGCCUCCUGAGAUUGAUGCUAUCAGUAGCCCCAUUUGAUAGAUAAGGAGACUGAGGCACUGAAGGGCAGGCUGUUUGCCAGAGGUCCUACAGCUCACACGUGGUAGAACGAGGAUGUGAACCCAGGCCAGCUGGCUCCACAGUCACAGAGGAAAGAGAGCAAGAUGGUCGCUUUGAGAGCUUGUUGGCAUUUCGGUUCAGUUGAAGAGCAGCCAGGCUUUGCUAUCUGCUCAUCUGGCUUUGGCUGCCUUAAGACCUUAAGCACCCUCCCCCUCUCCAGAACUGGGACCAACCCUGUGCGGUCCCACCCCGCUGCUCCCCAAGCCCCGCCAGGCCUCUCAUUUGUAGCUGCUCUUACCGAGCACAUUUCUAAACGGGGAAGGUUGCUCUGCUUUAAGGACAUACAAAUGGCUUGCCCUCACCUGUCAAGCAUGAUCCUUGUAUUUUACCAGGCCCAUUAUGAACGCAAUCUUUCUGUCGAAAAUUUGCAUACCUCCUUUCUUGAAAAGUAAUGACAGCAAUUUCUUUCCCUCCGCUCCCUUUCUGAGUGUCUCAUUUAACGGCACCUGUGAAACCGACAGGCGCAGAGAUGAGAAGUGAAAGAGAGCAGUUGAUUAAAUCAUCAUCAAGUCGGGCCUCAGAAAGUCAAUUCUGCUUGCCGUCUGCAAUGAUAUCCUUUUAUCUUAAAGUAAUGAGCUAUGGCACUUUUGCAUCGGGUAAUGCGAUAAGUUCUAUUAGCAUGUUCCAUUUGCCUCACAAGCAAGGGCAAGUCAUUUCAGCUAGCUCAUAUCACUACAAUCAAAGCAAUUGGCUUCCCAGGCAGAGAAGAAAGGGAAAAGGCUCAGGGUGAUUUCUAUGGAUCACAACACAGCGGAAAAAAUCGACUCUUGUAUUAUUUUAACCCAUAACAUACUUUUCCUUUUUCCUCAUCAGCAAAGCUGGGUUUGAUGAGCUCGCCCAGGACUCUGAAGAGAACCAGGCUUUCCUUCAAGUGAACCUAGGGAGCCGAGGCCCCACCCAAAGGCACAAGCAGCUGGGAUCCGGGAGGGAAAACCGCAGCGUUUGGGGGGGUCACAGAGAGCAUCCUGCCAAAGAGGACGGCCGAGACGGUCUCCGCGGUUAUGACACUGUGCUCUCGUAAUAAACUCUUCCUUCACACCGUCCGCAAAGUCAUUUGUAAUAGGUCCCCAGGCAGGUGCGGAUUAAUGCUAUUGAUGACUUGGAAUCAGUAAAUCAAUGACAGAGAGGCAGAGGAUCUGUUGCUUAAGCUUCAGAGAGGUGGUUUACAAAUCCGCCGGCCCUAGAAGGUCAGUAUUCCUUUGGCCAAGAAACUCAUUUUUCCAUUUUGGCAGUCGCUGAGGCUUGUGAGCUCUGGGUUUUAAGUGCAUUUCGUCUUUGGGGUUUAUGUCUGUUUAUACCUAGCAAAAUGUGACUUCCUUUCUUCUAAGGAGAAAAAAAGUGCUGAACCCUCCAAAAAUGUGUGAAAUAGCCACUUCUUCCCCUACUUCCAAAAACCCCAUAAUAGUUCAAUGAGCUAUGUGGAAAUUUACAGCAUAGAAAUUGUUUUAUGAACUAAACCUGGAUUUCCAAGUGACAAACAGGAAAAAAAA